This 32-nucleotide non-coding RNA is filed under the name Geobacter sulfurreducens KN400. The record is from RNAcentral. Lineage: Bacteria; Pseudomonadati; Thermodesulfobacteriota; Desulfuromonadia; Geobacterales; Geobacteraceae.
CUCACUGGCUCGGCACCGCAGCGGCCAUUGGC